RNAcentral lists this long non-coding RNA (382 nucleotides) under Homo sapiens (human). RNAcentral describes it as "novel transcript". The record is from RNAcentral. Lineage: Eukaryota; Metazoa; Chordata; Mammalia; Primates; Hominidae.
CCAGCUUGCAGGUGGCAGAUAAUGAGACUUCUCAGCCUCCAUAAUCAUAUAAUGAGAAUGAAGACUUUUAUGAUGAGCCACUUCUACUAAAUGAAUAUUAAACGGCAAACUCUCUGCAUGACUGGAGAGGGUAAAGGGCCAGAGGAGCAGUUUUACAAGCACCACAUCUGCCACACACAGGUAGCAAAUACCACUGGAAGGUCCAAGAUCCAGGGGCCCACAUCUGCUAAGGGCUUUCAUGCCGUGUCAUCCCAUGAGGAAAGACAGAGGGAUCCUGUUCUCUGCAAAUGCAAACAGUUCUUUUAUUACAAGGCUUUUUCAAGGGGAAGAGAAAACUCAUUUGGCAGAUAAGGUUAACCUUUUAAAAAAUCAAGUGUGUUAA